CCCCCCUUUUUUAAGCAUAAAAAUUCAUUACACGGAAAUGUAAAAUCUGAAAUUUAUAAAAAUUGAAAGGGAGCUUACAUCAAUAGAUAUAAACAAUUCACCAAAGUUUCAUGGACAUUGGUGAAAGCCUUUUUGAGUUAUUGUCCGAAGUGUUGAAAAUCCCCCUUUUUUUUAUGAAUAAAGCCCCAUAAAUCCAAAACUUUAAAUCUGAAAUUUAUAAAAAUUGAAAGGGAGCUUACAUCAAUAGAUAUAAACAAUUCACAAAAGUUUCAUGGACAUUGGUAAAAGCCUUUUUGAGUUAUUGUCCGAAGUGUUGAAAAUCCCCCUUUUUUUAUGAAUAAAGCCCCAUAAAUCCAAAACUUAAAAUCUGAAAUUUAUAAAAAUUGAAAGGGAGCUUACAUCAAUAGAUAUAAACAAUUCACCAAAGUUUCAUGGACAUUGGUGAAAGCCUUUUUGAGUUAUUGUCCGAAGUGUUGAAAAUCCCCCCUUUUUUAUGAAUAAAGCCCCAUAAAUCCAAAACUUAAAAUCUGAAAUUAAAAAAAAACGAAAGGGAGCUUACGUCAAUAGAUAUAAACAAUUCACUUAAGUUUUCAUGGAAAUUGGUGAAAGUGUUUUUGAGUUAUUGUCCGAAGUGUGGUUGACGGACGGACAGACGGACGAACGGACGGACAACGGUAUACCAUAAUACGUCCCGUCUAAAAG
RNAcentral lists this long non-coding RNA (702 nucleotides) under Mytilus galloprovincialis (Mediterranean mussel). The record is from RNAcentral. Lineage: Eukaryota; Metazoa; Mollusca; Bivalvia; Mytilida; Mytilidae.